UGGGGAAUUUUGGACAAUGGGGGAAACCCUGAUCCAGCCAUCCCGCGUGUGCGAUGAAGGCCUUCGGGUUGUAAAGCACUUUUGGCAGGAAAGAAACGUCAUGGGUUAAUACCCUGUGAAACUGACGGUACCUGCAGAAUAAGCACCGGCUAACUACGUGCCAGCAGCCGCGGUAAUACGUAGGGUGCAAGCGUUAAUCGGAAUUACUGGGCGUAAAGCGUGCGCAGGCGGUUCGGAAAGAAAGAUGUGAAAUCCCAGAGCUCAACUGUGGAGCUGCAUUUUUAACUACCGGGCUAGGGUGUGUCAGAGGGGUGUGGAAUUCCGCGUGUAGCAGUGAAAUGCGUAGAUAUGCGGAGGAACACCGAUGGCGAAGGCAGCCUCCUGAGAUAACACUGACGCUCAUGCACGAAAGCGUGGGGAGCAAACAGG
RNAcentral lists this ribosomal RNA (429 nucleotides) under Acidobacteriota bacterium. RNAcentral describes it as "Acidobacteria bacterium partial 16S ribosomal RNA". It matches the Rfam family "Bacterial small subunit ribosomal RNA", at positions 355 to 776 of the family's 1533-position model. Lineage: Bacteria; Pseudomonadati; Acidobacteriota. The record is from RNAcentral.